GAUGAAGAACGUAGUGAAACGCGAUACGUAAUGUGAAUUGCAGAAUUCAGUGAAUCAUCGAAUCUUUGAACGCACAUUGCGCCCCCUGGUAUUCCGGGGGGCAUGCCUGUCCGAGCGUCAUUGCUGCCCUCAAGCACGGCUUGUGUGUUGGGCCUCCGUCCUCCUCCCGGGGGACGGGCCCGAAAGGCAGCGGCGGCACCGCGUCCGGUCCUCGAGCGUAUGGGGCUUCGUCACCCGCUCUUGUAGGCCCGGCCGGCGCUUGCCGACACAUCAAUCUUUUUUCCAGGUUGACCUCGGAUCAGGUAGGGAUACCCGCUGAACUUAAGCAUAUCAAUAAGCGGAGGA
RNAcentral lists this unclassified non-coding RNA (345 nucleotides) under soil metagenome. RNAcentral's name for it is "partial contains 5.8S ribosomal RNA, internal transcribed spacer 2, and large subunit ribosomal RNA". The stretch from base 1 to 120 matches the Rfam family "5.8S ribosomal RNA", at positions 35 to 154 of the family's 154-position model. The record is from RNAcentral.